Molecule: long non-coding RNA, 1634 nt
Filed under: Calidris pygmaea (Spoon-billed sandpiper)
Lineage: Eukaryota; Metazoa; Chordata; Aves; Charadriiformes; Scolopacidae
Description: lncRNA (ENSCPGG00000008055.1)
Source: RNAcentral
CCUUGCCCACGGUGCCAUCUGGAUGUCCCCAUGGCUUGGUGGCACCUCGUCCCCAUGGUCCAGUCCAUGUCUCCUCCAGCUUGGUGGCACCUUGUCCCCAUGUCCGUGGCUCAGUCAGUGUGUCCCCAUGGCUUGGUGGCACCUUGUCCUCCUGUCCACAGCUCAGUCCAUGUGUCCUCCAGCUUGGUGGCACCUUGUCCCCUUGCCCAUGAUGCCAUCUGGGUGUCCCCAUGACUUGGGGGCACCUCAUCCUUGUGGUCCAGUCCGUCUGUCCCCCAUUCCAGCGUCAUCUUGUCCCCAUGUCCACAGCUCAGUCCCUGUGUCCUCCAGCUUGGUGUCACCUCCUGCCUGUCCCUGUAGCUCAGUCCCUGUGUCCCGUGGCUUGGUGUCACCUUGUCCCCUUGCCCACAGCAGUCUCUAUGUCCCUCAGAUGGGUGUCACCUCACCCCCUUACCCAUGGGGUAGUCUCUGUGUCUCGGUGUCACCUCGUCCCCUUGCCCAUGGCUCGGUCCGUGUGUCCUCCAGCUCACUGCCACUUUGUCCCUGUGGCCAUAGCUCAGUCCCCGUGUCCCCCAGCUUGGCGUCACCUCAUCCCCUUGCCCGUGACUCAGUCCCCAUGUCCUCCAGCUCGAUGCCACCUCCUCCCUGUGGCCAUAGCUCAGUCCCCAUGUCCUCCAGCUCGGUGCCACCACGUCCCCAUGGGUCAGUCCGUGCGUGUCCCCCCCCUCUCAGGGGACAAAGAGGGGCUUGUGGACGCGCUUGUGGCGGUUGAGCGUGGCGCUGCGGGCGAAGCUCUCCCCGCACUCCACGCAGAUGAAGGGCUCCGGCGGCCCCCCAUCUCGGGGUUGCCCCCCGGCCCCGUGGACCCGCUGGUGCUUCAGCAGGUUGCCGCUCUGGGCGAAACCCCGGCCGCAGUGGGCGCAGCGGUGGGGCCGAGCCCCCGAGUGGGUGCGUUGGUGCUUGAUGAGGUUCUUGCUCUGGGUGAAGCUCUUCCCGCACUCCCCGCAGCUGUAGGGCUUCUCCCCGGUGUGGAUGCGCUGGUGCUGGAUGAGGUUGGAGCUCCAGCUGAAGCUCUUGCCGCAGUCCCCGCAGCUAUAGGGCUUCUCCCCGGUGUGGGUCCGGCGGUGCUGGACCAGGUGGGAGUUUUGGCUGAAGCUCUUGCCGCACUCCCCGCAGGUGCUGGGCCGUUCCCCGGUGUGGGUCCUGCGGUGCCGCAGCAGCUUGGACCAGUGGCUGAAGCUCUUCCCGCACUCGUUGCAGAUAAAAGGCCGCUGGCGACCCCCCCGCCGCCCCCUCUCCCCUUCCUCUUCCUCGCCGUAACCCACCCCCCCCAACCCGGAGGUGGCGGCCACCGAGCUGGGGGUCCCCCCGCCGCCGCCGAUGGUGCCCCCCCCGCCACCAGUGCCCCCCCCGCCGCCGCCGCCGCCGCCGCGUUUCUUGGUUUUGGGGGGCAGGGGGCUGUGGGGGAUGACGGUCUGGAUGAUCUCGUGGGGCAGCACCUCGUCCUCGCAGUCGCUGACGAUCCCGUCGUCGGCUACGGGGGGGGGGGGGGGGGGGGAAGAGGGUGGGGAGGGGGCAGAGACACCCCCCCCAAAGGCAGAGACCCCCCUUUGGGAGAGACACCCCCCCCUCCC